This 1245-nucleotide ribosomal RNA is filed under the name Ixodes scapularis (black-legged tick). Its description in RNAcentral is "SSU rRNA". It matches the Rfam family "Eukaryotic small subunit ribosomal RNA", at positions 645 to 1823 of the family's 1831-position model. Lineage: Eukaryota; Metazoa; Arthropoda; Arachnida; Ixodida; Ixodidae. The record is from RNAcentral.
UUUCUCGUUGCCAAAGACAUCGCGAUGACAACGUCUGCUCUUGCGCGUUUUCGGAAAAAAAAAUAUUUUGUGUUUUGUUUUUUGAGCAGUUCGGAAGAGAAUGCUAAAGCGCACGGAAGGACCGCUGCUUAGGACCGGCUUGCUCAAAUGCAGCGUCUCAGUUGAAACAGACUUAAAACAAACACUGUCGAGGUUGGAGCGCGCGAGCGCCUAAUACGCGAUUUAAGAUUGAGCGCUACCUUUGACAGCGCUUUCUCUGCUGAGACGCUGGUUCGAGCGAGCCGCUUGACUUAGAUUAUGAAGCCUCCUAGAGAUUCACCAACGACGUAGGCGCACCGCGGAGAAGUGCUUUAGUUCUGAAAUUCCAGAGUUCAUGCUCCAUUAGGUGCGGUCGAGAAUUACAAGGCAAAAGAACAUCAACCAAGAUCGAAAGUUAGAGGUUCGAAGGCGAUCAGAUACCGCCCUAGUUCUAACCAUAAACGAUGCCAACCAGCGAUCCGCCUGAGUUACUCAAAUGACUCGGCGGGCAGCUUCCGGGAAACCAAAGUAUUUGGGUUCCGGGGGAAGUAUGGUUGCAAAGCUGAAACUUAAAGGAAUUGACGGAAGGGCACCACCAGGAGUGGAGCCUGCGGCUUAAUUUGACUCAACACGGGAAAACUUACCCGGCCCGGACACUGGGAGGAUUGACAGAUUGAGAGCUUUUUCUUGAUUCGGUGCAUGGUGGUGCAUGGCCGUUCUUAGUUGGUGGAGCGAUUUGUCUGGUUAAUUCCGAUAACGAACGAGACUCUGGCCUAUUAAAUAGGUGCGUGGUUCUCUGCACCUUGCACCCUUCUUAGAGGGACAAGAGGUCCUAGCCGCACGAAACAGAGCAAUAACAGGUCUGUGAUGCCCUUAGAUGUCCGGCGCCGCACGCGCGCUACACUGAAGGAAGCAGCGUGUUUUUAUCCCUGUCUGUAAAGACUGAAUAACCCGUGGAACCUCCUUCGUGAUUGGGAUAGGAGCUUGCAAUUGUUCCCCUUGAACGAGGAAUUCCCAGUAAGCGCGAGUCAUAAGCUCGCGUUGAUUACGUCCCUGCCCUUUGUACACACCGCCCGUCGCUACUACCGAUUGAAUGAUUUAGUGAGGUCUUCGGACCGAUACCCGGAGCGGCCUUUCGGUUGCCGGUUUGUUGGAAAGAUGACCAAACUUGAUCAUUUAGAGGAAGUAAAAGUCGUAACAAGGUUUCCGUAGGUGAACCUGCGGAAG